GUGAAUCAUCAAAUUUUUGAACGCAAAUUGCACUCUCUUGGAAGAGUAUGAGUGUUUGAGGGUGAGCCUAAAAAGAAUAGACGUAGGCGCUGUUUCGCGGUGACAUUCGGCGGAAAUUGGGGCAUUUUAAACCUUUGGGAUUUUUAAGCGGCUGAAAAUUUGCUUUACGAUUCAACGAACGGUUCUAAGAUUUACUUACACGUGUAAGGUAUCGAUCUUUAU
Molecule: unclassified non-coding RNA, 222 nt
Filed under: Glomus sp.
Lineage: Eukaryota; Fungi; Glomeromycota; Glomeromycetes; Glomerales; Glomeraceae
Description: partial internal transcribed spacer 2
Source: RNAcentral